AUUCGCCAGACUUAAACGAACAUAAAUUAUUUAUACAAUAAAACUCAACACAUGUAUCAGAAAUGAGCUCUCCUUGUGAGGGUAGCAUACUUUUAUUUACGAAUGUAAAUCAAAUUUUAAAUCAAAACAGUUCGUUUCAAAAACAUCCAAGCACACAACGGCUUAUUCUCAUUAUUGAGACACUACUAAAAAACAGUCAUACUGGCUCGAUCACAGUCAGCCAUCCGUAAUAUAUACAAAAUAUACA
RNAcentral lists this long non-coding RNA (247 nucleotides) under Mytilus galloprovincialis (Mediterranean mussel). Lineage: Eukaryota; Metazoa; Mollusca; Bivalvia; Mytilida; Mytilidae. The record is from RNAcentral.